AGAACGAACGCCGGCGGCAGGCCUAACACAUGCAAGUCGAGCGGUAGAGAGGUGCUUGCACCUCUUGAGAGCGGCGGACGGGUGAGUAAUGCCUAGGAAUCUGCCUAGUGGUGGGGGAUAACGUUCGGAAACGGACGCUAAUACCGCAUACGUCCUACGGGAGAAAGCGGGGGACCUUGGGCCUCGGCGCCAUUAGAUGAGCCUAGGUCGGAUUAGCUAGUUGGUGAGGUUAAU
Molecule: ribosomal RNA, 234 nt
Filed under: uncultured soil bacterium
Lineage: Bacteria
Description: partial 16S ribosomal RNA
Rfam family: Bacterial small subunit ribosomal RNA
Source: RNAcentral